This 73-nucleotide transfer RNA is filed under the name Vicugna pacos (alpaca). Its description in RNAcentral is "tRNA-Ala (TGC) (tRNA-Ala-TGC-16-1)". It matches the Rfam family "tRNA". Rfam says of the family: Transfer RNA (tRNA) molecules are approximately 80 nucleotides in length. Their secondary structure includes four short double-helical elements and three loops (D, anti-codon, and T loops). The record is from RNAcentral. Lineage: Eukaryota; Metazoa; Chordata; Mammalia; Artiodactyla; Camelidae.
GGAGGAUAUAGCUCAGUGGUAGAGUACAUGCCUUGCAUGCAUGAGGUCCUGGGUUCAAUCCCCAGUGCCUCCA